Molecule: small nucleolar RNA, 149 nt
Organism: Phasianus colchicus (ring-necked pheasant)
Lineage: Eukaryota; Metazoa; Chordata; Aves; Galliformes; Phasianidae
Source: Ensembl
CUUCAGUGAUGAUACGAUGACGAGUCAGAAGGGAUGUCCUUGUGCCAAGCACAGCCUGGUCAGUGCCACGUUCUGUGGUGCUGUGCUAAGGUUGCCUUGGGCAGGAUGUCCUCCUCAUUGGUUGAUUCAGAGGCAUUUGUCUGAGAAGG